GGCAGCGUGUCCGAGUGGUUUAAGGAGAUGGAUUUGAAAUCCAUUGGGGUUUCCCUGCAUAGGUUUGAAUCCUGCCGCUGUCG
Non-coding RNA from Condylostylus longicornis, 83 nucleotides. The record is from the annotation of a RefSeq genome assembly. Lineage: Eukaryota; Metazoa; Arthropoda; Insecta; Diptera; Dolichopodidae.